RNAcentral lists this ribosomal RNA (253 nucleotides) under uncultured bacterium. RNAcentral describes it as "partial 16S ribosomal RNA". It matches the Rfam family "Bacterial small subunit ribosomal RNA", at positions 524 to 776 of the family's 1533-position model. The record is from RNAcentral.
UACGAAGGGGACUAGCGUUGUUCGGAAUCACUGGGCGUAAAGCGCACGUAGGCGGAUUUGUAAGUCAGGGGUGAAAUCCCGGGGCUCAACCUCGGAACUGCCUUUGAUACUGCGAAUCUUGAGUCCGAUAGAGGUGGGUGGAAUUCCUAGUGUAGAGGUGAAAUUCGUAGAUAUUAGGAAGAACACCGGUGGCGAAGGCGGCCCACUGGAUCGGUACUGACGCUGAGGCGCGAAAGCGUGGGGAGCAAACGGG